RNAcentral lists this long non-coding RNA (1498 nucleotides) under Vulpes vulpes (red fox). Its description in RNAcentral is "lncRNA (ENSVVUG00000017726.1)". The record is from RNAcentral. Lineage: Eukaryota; Metazoa; Chordata; Mammalia; Carnivora; Canidae.
AUGCCCGUCACAAACAUACCGACAACUUCCCAUUUUCUGAGUGUUAACGGCUUCUGCCCUAAUUUCUUCCUGCAGGUCCUGGCAGGUUGCAGCUUUCCCUCUCUCGUACACCGCCUUUGUUUAUUUCCCCAAAUAUACUUUCGGUGGCAUACGAACUUUGACAUUUCGUUUUGCUUUACGAGGAGGACCCGCUCCUUCACUUGCCCGGACUACAGUCCACGUCUCUCCAAGGGCCUGGGGACAGGAGAAUCAGGUACGGUGAGCUGUGCCUUCGAAGCGGGGCACUCCCGGAUCUGCGUGAGCAGCGCAGGUCAGGCGCCUCCUGGCUCCUACUCCCGCACGUGGGCUGUCUCCGCUCGCUCUGGCAGCGAGGCCGCGAGAGGGGGGGCCCGACGGAGGGGUUUCCUGCCAGUCCGAGGCGCAGGCCAUGCGGUCACAGAAUUUCGGCCGUAUUUAAAAAUCGAGGGGGGACGUUAUCGUGCUGUCAUAAUCCGGUGAUAUGUAGGUUGUUUUUUUCUUUUUCUUUUUCCUUUCGGCAUUCCCACCACUGUUAUAAGCCACGUAGAGUACCAGCACGCUAGUAAGGGGCCGAACCUUGGGGAAACAAGCCCAGAGCCUUUGAGCUGUAACCGGUGGAAACGACUCAGCCGGUUCAGGGGUCAUUAAUUCGGAAAUGUGUUAGCAGCGGGCUCAAAUCAGCUUUCCCCGUUUAAGAACACGCACACGAGCUUGCCGGCGAAGGGCCCAGCCUUCGCGAGAGGAACGGGCGCCUCAGAGCUCCGAGUCCACGACGAGCUCACGCCCCGAGAUGACUCCGCAUUUAAACUCUGCCCGGAGUCCGAGCGCUCCGGGGGCCGGAAGCGGGGCCACGUGACCGGUCCGCCUCCGCAGCCAUUGCUAACGAGGCAGCCGCCAGCGCCCCUUCUGUAUUUCCUCGCUUCUCCAAGCGCAGGGAGACGCAGAAACACCUGACAAGCGUUGGUUGCCAGGUAGCUUUGGACUAGAGGGUCAACACAACUCAUGCUUUGUCCAGCGAUACUUUGCAAGCCCCUCAGCCCAAAACAGCUGUGGGGCACUUCCGCCUGGGUGGCAACCAGGUGAUCACGCGAGACUUGGGGAGCCGGCCGGACGACUCGACUACCCCAGUCCCCGCGCUCCGCCAGCCCAGCACCCUCCGCUGCGCGUGACGACGCGGCCCGCGGCGGCCUCCGCCCCGGCGCGCCUGCGCACGCGGCUCUCGCGGUGUCUCGCGCUCAGCCCCGCCCACCUCUGCCCCCGCCCUUUCCGCCCCUCCCUCCCCCUCCGCCCUGUCUCUCGGCGGCAGCGGCGGCGGCGGCGGCUCGCGCAGCUCGUUGGCUCACUAUAUAAAGGGGAGAAGCGGGCGGACCGGACGGCUGGAGCUGCAGCCGGUGGCGGCAGCGGCGGCGCGGGGAGCGGCGACCGGNNNNNNNNNNNNNNNNNNNNNNNNNNNNUGUGUGUUUUUUUUUUUUUUUUUUUU